UGAAAUGCUUAGAUNUCACGGAGAACUCCAAUUGCGAAGGCAGCUUACUAGGCUACAACUGACGCUGAAGCACGAAAGCGUGGGGAUCAAACAGGAUUAGAUACCCUGGUAGUCCACGCAGUAAACGAUGAUAACUAGCUGUUUGCGAUACACAGUAAGCGGCACAGCGAAAGCGUUAAGUUAUCCACCUGGGGAGUACGCCGGCAACGGUGAAACUCAAAGGAAUUGACGGGGGCCCGCACAAGCGGAGGAACAUGUGGUUUAAUUCGAUGAUACGCGAGGAACCUUACCCGGGCUUGAACGUAGGGAGACAGUUCUGGAAACAGAAUCUCUAGCAAUAGCUGCCUACGAGGUGCUGCAUGGUUGUCGUCAGCUCGUGCCGUGAGGUGUCGGCUUAAGUGCCAUAACGAGCGCAACCCACAUCGAUAGUUACUAACAGGUUAAGCUGAGGACUCUAUCGAGACUGCCAGCGUAAGCUGUGAGGAAGGUGUGGAUGACGUCAAAUCAGCGCGGCCCUUACGUCCGGGGCGACACACGUGUUACAAUGGGAGGUACAAAGGGCAGCUACCUGGCGACAGGAUGCUAAUCUCUAAAACCUUUCUCAGUUCGGAUUGGAGUCUGCAACUCGACUCCAUGAAGCUGGAUUCGCUAGUAAUCGCGCAUCAGCCAUGGCGCGGUGAAUACGUUCCCGGGCCUUGUACACACCGCCCGUCAAGCCAUGGAAGCUGGGGGUACCUGAAGUAUGCAACCGCAAGGAGCGUCCUAGGGUAAAACCGGUAACUGGGGCU
Molecule: ribosomal RNA, 788 nt
Filed under: uncultured prokaryote
Description: bacterial SSU rRNA
Rfam family: Bacterial small subunit ribosomal RNA
Source: RNAcentral